GCACUGUUCUGAAUGAAAUAUAAAGCCAAAGCCCUGAAUAACUGUGGCCAUUAGAUGGAAUUUUUUUUUUCAAGAGUGAAGGAGCUUGCUCCAGCAAGACCUAACCUGAGCAAGCUUGUUAUAACAACAGCACUACCUAGGUCCCAGCUCUGCAAGCAAGACCUCAGAGUGCUGAUGUGAGGGACCAUCUGCAAAAUAUCGUGCUUCCAACCAUGAAGAGAGAGAAGCAGGUCUGCACAGCGAUACUGCCGUUCCCCCGGUACCAGGCAUGUCUUAAUCAAUCCCCUUGAUGGUCUCUCUUGAAGAAUCUGAUUUCAGUGCUGAGUUCAGAGUGAUUGGAUGUGGUCAUGGCAUAUGGAUCUCUUCAAGUUGGAGAAGGGAUUUUGUCACAGGUGAGGUACUUCUACUUAUAUCCAUAUCACUAUGCAACCACCAUAAAUUAAGUUAUGCUCCCCAGAGGCCUUGGGUCCAUGUGAGAAUGGAAAACAUGUGAAUGGUGUGAAACCAGGAUUGCUCUGAUAGUGUUCUUCAUGAUCCAGCACAGCUGACUGCUCUCUCAGUGUCAGAUCGAUUUCUGGGUUCACCAGACUUUUGAACCAGUCCUUAUUUUGGAGGCUUCUGUGUCCUCAAAAAUGUCAAAAUUCUGACCAAAUGGAGCAUCCAUGCUUCUGUCAAGAACACUUGGAUUUAUUCUGUUUUAUUAUGGGCACUGAAAUUAGGCUGAAUCUAUACCUCAGUGGUGGGCAUUAUGCCUACAAGGUGAGACAGAGCUCAGAGCCACUGUGUCUCAGCUGAGGAAACAGUUUUAUCACACAUGUAAAAGAAUCAGUUUUG
Molecule: long non-coding RNA, 834 nt
Organism: Aquila chrysaetos chrysaetos
Lineage: Eukaryota; Metazoa; Chordata; Aves; Accipitriformes; Accipitridae
Exons: 3
Source: RefSeq, a predicted model, not a curated record